RNAcentral lists this transfer RNA (64 nucleotides) under Triops granarius. Its description in RNAcentral is "tRNA-Tyr". It matches the Rfam family "tRNA". Rfam says of the family: Transfer RNA (tRNA) molecules are approximately 80 nucleotides in length. Their secondary structure includes four short double-helical elements and three loops (D, anti-codon, and T loops). Further hydrogen bonds mediate the characteristic L-shaped molecular structure. tRNAs have two regions of fundamental functional importance: the anti-codon, which is responsible for specific mRNA codon recognition, and the 3' end, to which the tRNAs corresponding amino acid is attached (by aminoacyl-tRNA synthetases). tRNAs cope with the degeneracy of the genetic code in two manners: having more than one tRNA (with a specific anti-codon) for a particular amino acid; and 'wobble' base-pairing, i.e. permitting non-standard base-pairing at the 3rd anti-codon position. The record is from RNAcentral. Lineage: Eukaryota; Metazoa; Arthropoda; Branchiopoda; Notostraca; Triopsidae.
AAUAUAGUGGCUGAUAAAAGUAUUAGACUGUAAAUCUAAUUAUGGGUGAUUAACCCCUAUAUUA